CCCUGGGCUGCACGGCCCUCCUGGGCCCUCUCUUGGGGCUCCUCACGAUCUUCCUGCACCUGCUCCCACUUCCAACUGCCGCUGGCUCUCUGCUCCGCUCCCUCGAUUUGCCGGGAGAAGCCUGCCUGACUGGCCACUGCAUGCCAGCGAGGGUGGGCCAGCUGGCCAUGGCUGCCCUUUGGCCGGUGUCCCACUUCCAGAGGAGUCAGGACCUGGGGUCACGGAGCAACCUCCAGAAGCUGUUUAUCAGCAGGUGGAAAGUCACAGGACCGCUGGGAGGCAACGGGAAGGGAGAGACUGAGCCGAGGCACAGGGAAGCAUGAAGGCCAUUGUCCUGAGCUGCAGAAGUGAAAAGCAGAGAGAGGGCCACUCUCAGGAUCCCUGAUGAAAACUGAAGCCCACUAGAAAAGUGAAGGGAAUCUCUGCAAUAAAGGCACACCCGACCACUGUGCUUGAAGAAGCGAGGGACAUCAAACAAAGAUCACCCCGCCUGUAAGCAACAGAGCUGAGACUCAAGCCAGGCACUUUCUCCUUCCCUCUUAGUCACUGUGUGACACAAUUCGGGGUUCAGGCUUGGGCAUCGGGAGGAAUGAUGGAGCCGUUCACCACAGGAGACUCCACAGGAGGUCCCAUGAAGGUGGGUGGGAAGAAAGCUAGGAACAUGGCUUCCAACAGACAGAGGGAGG
Heterocephalus glaber (naked mole-rat) is the source of this 686-nucleotide long non-coding RNA. Lineage: Eukaryota; Metazoa; Chordata; Mammalia; Rodentia; Bathyergidae. The record is from Ensembl.